GGCAAACGAUCAGGCAUUUAAUUUAAUUUUUUAUGAGGCAGAGCUAUGGCCAUGUUGGAUAAUGACCUUCUUCCUAUAACAUGUCGUUGACAUCUUGCUUAUUCAUGGAAUAUUUUUUUGUACACUGCCUGGUGUUUCAGAAAUUACUGCAUUGAACGAACCGUUGAGCAUAUGCCACUGUGCAUGCUCAUAGUUCGCAGGCCAUCUGCGCAGGCCCACAUCACAGUGUCUCGUGCGAGAAUAAACAAAGCUUGAGUCUUCACAGCUGCCCACAAUCAGUGGGAGUAUAUCAGACCCUUCUCUCCUUCAGUCUGUGCUUGACUGUAAUGGCUUUGCCAAAUAGUUCCGCCUUAGCCUUUGUGCCUUGCAUCGAGUGUUCCGAUUACAGCUAAAAUCAGUCAAGCUGACUUUAACAAGGCCAUGGAGGGGCUGGAUAGGAACCCUGAUGAAGAGAUCAGCUUCAGAGAGUUUUCUGUGUGUGGAUUUCACUGA
Molecule: long non-coding RNA, 492 nt
Organism: Micropterus dolomieu (smallmouth bass)
Lineage: Eukaryota; Metazoa; Chordata; Actinopteri; Centrarchiformes; Centrarchidae
Exons: 2
Source: RefSeq, a predicted model, not a curated record